Molecule: unclassified non-coding RNA, 358 nt
Filed under: uncultured fungus
Lineage: Eukaryota; Fungi
Description: partial contains 5.8S ribosomal RNA and internal transcribed spacer 2
Rfam family: 5.8S ribosomal RNA (bases 1-133)
Source: RNAcentral
UGGCUCUGGCAUCGAUGAAGAACGCAGCGAAAUGCGAUACGUAAUGUGAAUUGCAGAAUUCCGUGAAUCAUCGAAUCUUUGAACGCACAUUGCGCCCGCCAGUAUUCUGGCGGGCAUGCCUGUUCGAGCGUCAUUUCAACCCUCAGCACGCCCCCGCAAGGGGGAGCUGGCGUUGGGGAUCAGCGUAAGCGCCUGGCGGCCCGCCGCCACGCCCGCUGGCCCUCGAAUACAGUGGCGGUCUUGCCCUGGGCUCCCUCGCGUAGUAACUCACCUCGCCCGCGGAAACCAGGCCCGGCCACGCCGUAAAACCCCCUACUUUCACAUGGUUGACCUCGAAUCAGGUAGGAAUACCAGCUGA